UACAGAGGUCUCAAGCGUUGUUCGGAUUCAUUGGGCGUAAAGGGUGCGUAGGCGGCGCGGUAAGUCGGGUGUGAAAUCUCGGAGCUUAACUCCGAAACUGCAUUCGAUACUGCCGUGCUUGAGGACUGGAGAGGAGACUGGAAUUUACGGUGUAGCGGUGAAAUGCGUAGAUAUCGUAAGGAAGACCAGUGGCGAAGGCGACUUCCUGGCCUGUUCUUGACGCUGAGGCGCGAAAGCUGGGGGAGCAAACGGG
This 253-nucleotide ribosomal RNA is filed under the name uncultured bacterium. RNAcentral's name for it is "partial 16S ribosomal RNA". It matches the Rfam family "Bacterial small subunit ribosomal RNA", at positions 524 to 776 of the family's 1533-position model. The record is from RNAcentral.